Long non-coding RNA from Arachis stenosperma, 946 nucleotides. RefSeq lists it as uncharacterized. The transcript is spliced from 3 exons. Lineage: Eukaryota; Viridiplantae; Streptophyta; Magnoliopsida; Fabales; Fabaceae. The record is from RefSeq and is a predicted model, not a curated record.
UUCCAGUCAAUGAGUCACCCACACUCCCACAGGCCCACUCACCCUCUGGCCCUCUCCCUCUCCUUUUCCUGUCGAGCCUCCAGCCCUCCACUCUCAGCUCUCGCUCUCAGUUCUCACGUCUCCAAUUUCCACAUCGGGCUUUCGGCAGAGAAGAGAACUCGAACGCAGCUUGGAGGAAGCACCCAAGGAACCCUCCAUCUCGUCACUGUUCUUCAGCGUCCAGCCACUGCCGCCGUCCUCAUUGCUGCAGCUUCUGCACAACGUCGCCCUUGUUCGCCGCGCGGCUGCCUCCUUUUUGUUCAAUCUUCUGCCUCUGUUUUUUGGCCAACCCUUGCUCUGCCCUUGCUCGAGCUGCUUAGCCCUCUGUUCAGCCCUCUACACCGCGUGUUCGAGCUUCUGUUCCGCCGCCUUUCAGCCACCGUUCCGCCAUUGUUCAGCCUCCGUUCAGCCAUUUUCGUCGCAUUUUAAAGCUCCUCCCUCUCCCUGUACUGUUUGAAUUUCAGAACUGCUUCAUCCUAGGAAUCAGAAGACGAAGGUGGAAGAAGGAAGCAAAAGAAGCAGUGGUUGAAUGAAUGAAUCAGUGAAACUGAAACUGAAAUGGAGAACAACAACAACAACAACAACAACAAUAACAACGCUAUGAUUCGUGAAUGGUUCGACAGAGUUGACUCUCACAAAACUGGAACCAUAACUGCUCCCCAACUCAAGGAUGUAUGAUUUUGAUAGGAAUGGUACUAUGAGCUUUGAAGGUAUAUGCCAAUCCCAUUGCACUCUAUGCUUAACCCACUAUGCUCUAAAAAGAAGCUGAGAUUUACAUCAAUAAUCAAAUACUAUCUUGAAAUUUGGAAAGUAGUGUUCUUUCAUAUAUGGGACUUUAUUUGUUGGAGUUUAUUUAUAGUAGAAUUGAAACAUGUUCUAGCUCACUCUAACUUACUCGUAAAUGGUU